RNAcentral lists this long non-coding RNA (1120 nucleotides) under Nicotiana tabacum (common tobacco). RNAcentral's name for it is "long non-coding RNA (NTAB_LNC015406)". Lineage: Eukaryota; Viridiplantae; Streptophyta; Magnoliopsida; Solanales; Solanaceae. The record is from RNAcentral.
UUUUUUUUUUUUUUGGUAACCAAAAUGAUCCUCUGGUUACUAAAAAAGUGUUUAGUGACUUGUUGUGAUUCUUAGGCAAAGUUGAAUGAUUUUUAUGUUAAAAAAAAAUAGUUUAAUAUUUUUGGUGCAAUAAAAAUAAAAGUUUGAAUUACCAUCUACAAUUUCAACCCUACGUGGGAUAUCGUCUAGAAAAUGAUACCAUAAGACCUAACUAAUGGAGAAAAAUAACAAGUUUUGGCCUUUUAACUUUUGACCUUUGAAAUGGGCAAAACCUAUCCCAAAGGUUCAAAGUUCAAAUCAUAGACCCGGAGCCUUCCCAGUCUAGUAUGCCUGUUUUAAGGUUCGAGAUUAGAUGUAGGAAUGAUAGCUUGACAAUAGGCCCCAAAGUAAUAGCCAUGUGGCUAAAUCAUAGGUGUAACAACGUGGAGAUCCCAACUUUAAAUGUCAGCUACAAUAUUUGGUGCGAGUCCAUCCCUUCCAACCUUGGUGGAUUAAUCGAGGUACAAAUAAACUAGUCCGAACACCACUCUUAUAUACAUAUACACACACGCACAUAAUAAAAGAUUGCUUGACAUUAGCCAUAUAACUUGUAUUUUGUGUAAUCAUACACCUUAUUUGCGCCUCCUACGCCAUCUAACAAUGAAAGAAGGUGACACCCACAAAAACAUGUUGAUCUGCUAAACUGCCACCAUUGAGUUGGCAUAAAAGUUAAUCCCUUUUCCUUGCUAUGAGCGGAUUGCGAGGCCAUUUACACAGAGCCAUUAGUUAUCUAAAUCAGAAAACAAAAACUCCAAAUAUGAUUUACUUGCUGAAUGUACAACAAAGUGUUAUUACAUGGAGGAGACUCGAGGAAAAAUUCUAAAGCUGAGCCAGCCUUUUGUAAGUCACUCGAAUAUAAACUGUUACAUCUACUACUUUCACAAACAUGUUCGUUUCUGGACAUACAACAAACAUAAAAAUAGAGGAGGACUAUCUACAUUCCAUUGUACACCAAUCAUGGAUGGGCGAAAGGACUCUUUAAAUAUCAUUUUCUAACUACAAAUCAUAUGCAUUCUGUCCUUUCCUCAUCCUCAAGCCAACAAAAAGUGACUUUACCAAGAUAAGUACAGAAUAGUGAGUU